CAUCCUACGGGGGGCAGCAGUGGGGGAUAUUGCACAAUGGGGGAAACCCUGAUGCAGCGACGCCGCGUGGGUGAAGAAGCGCCUCGGCGCGUAAAGCCCUGUCAGCAGGGAAGAAAAUGACGGUACCUGACUAAGAAGCCCCGGCUAACUACGUGCCAGCAGCCGCGGUAAUACGUAGGGGGCAAGCGUUAUCCGGAUUUACUGGGUGUAAAGGGAGCGUAGACGGCAGUGCAAGUCUGAAGUGAAAGGCGGGGGCCCAACCCCCGGACUGCUUUAGAAACUGUGCUGCUGGAGUGCAGGAGAGG
Molecule: ribosomal RNA, 305 nt
Filed under: uncultured bacterium
Lineage: Bacteria
Description: partial 16S ribosomal RNA
Rfam family: Bacterial small subunit ribosomal RNA
Source: RNAcentral